AUGCACGCUAGCUACAGGCUUAACACAUGCAAGUCGCGGGGCAGCAUGGGGGUUGCUUGCAAUCCCCGAUGGCGACCGGCGCACGGGUGAGUAACGCGUAUCCAACCUGCCCUUCACCACGGGAUAACCCGGCGAAAGUCGGACUAAUACCGUAUGUUGUCCAUUGACGGCAUCCGAUUUGGACGAAAGGUUUGGCGGUGAAGGAUGGGGAUGCGUCCGAUUAGCUGGACGGCGGGGUGACGGCCCACCGUGGCGACGAUCGGUAGGGGUUCUGAGAGGAAGGUCCCCCACACUGGAACUGAGACACGGUCCAGACUCCUACGGGAGGCAGCAGUGAGGAAUAUUGGUCAAUGGGCGUAAGCCUGAACCAGCCAAGUAGCGUGCAGGAUGACGGCCCUAUGGGUUGUAAACUGCUUUUAUGCGGGGAUAAAGUGGCCCACGUGUGGGUUUUUGCAGGUACCGCAUGAAUAAGGACCGGCUAAUUCCGUG
Molecule: ribosomal RNA, 489 nt
Filed under: uncultured bacterium
Lineage: Bacteria
Description: partial 16S ribosomal RNA
Rfam family: Bacterial small subunit ribosomal RNA
Source: RNAcentral